Molecule: ribosomal RNA, 401 nt
Filed under: uncultured bacterium
Lineage: Bacteria
Description: partial 16S ribosomal RNA
Rfam family: Bacterial small subunit ribosomal RNA
Source: RNAcentral
CCUACGGGAGGCAGCAGUAGGGAAUUUUCCUCAAUGAGCGAAAGCCUGAAGGAGCGAUGCCGCGUGAGUGAUGAAGGUCUUCGGAUCGUAAAGCUCUGUUAUAAGGGAAGAACAGUUACAAUAGGAAAUGAUGGUAUCGUGACGGUACCUUACCAGAAAGCGACGGCUAACUACGUGCCAGCAGCCGCGGUAAUACAUAGGUGGCAAGCGUUAUCCGGAAUUAUUGGGCGUAAAGGGUUCGUAGGCUGAAAGUUAAGUCUGGAGUAAAAGCCGUGGGCUCAACCCACGGUAGCUUUGGAUACUAGCAAGCUAGCGUGCAGUAGAGGUGAGCGGAAUUCCAUGUGAAGCGGUAAAAUGCGUAGAUAUAUGGAGGAACACCAGAGGCGAAGGCGGCUAACUGG